This 492-nucleotide ribosomal RNA is filed under the name uncultured bacterium. RNAcentral describes it as "partial 16S ribosomal RNA". It matches the Rfam family "Bacterial small subunit ribosomal RNA", at positions 29 to 507 of the family's 1533-position model. The record is from RNAcentral.
AGUGAACGCUGGCGGUAGGCCUAACACAUGCAAGUCGAACGGCAGCCCAGUAACUGCUUGCUCUUACGGGUGGUGAGUGGCGGACGGCUGAGGAAUACAUCGGAACCUACUUUUUCGUCGGCUACAACGUAGGGAAACUUACGCUAAUACCGCAUACGACCCACUGGCUAAAGCAGGGGAUCUUCGGACCUUGCGCGUUUGAAUGAGCCGAUGUCGGAUUAGCUAGUUGGCGGGGUAACGGCCCACCAAGGCGACGAUCCGUAGCUGAUCUGAGAGGAUGAUCAGACACACUGGAACAGAGACACGGUCCAGACUACGACGGAAGGCAGCAGUGGAGAAUAUUGGAAAAUGGGCGAGAGUCUGAUCCAGCAAUAGCGCGUAGGUGAAGGAAGAGUUGGAGUUGGAAAGAAGUAUUGUUACGAAAGAAAAGCAGAAGGUUAAGAGGACGAUGGAGUGACGGUACAAAGAGAAUAAGAACCGGAUAACUUCGUG